CCAAAGGCCCUUUUAAGGGCCACCCACAAAAUCUGUUAAGGAGCCG
This is a regulatory RNA element of Loxodonta africana (African savanna elephant), 46 nucleotides long. It matches the Rfam family "Histone 3' UTR stem-loop". Rfam says of the family: The mRNAs of metazoan histone genes lack a poly-A tail. 3' end processing occurs at a site between a highly conserved stem-loop (modelled by this family) and a purine rich region around 20 nts downstream (the histone downstream element, or HDE). The stem-loop is bound by a 31 kDa stem-loop binding protein (SLBP - also termed the histone hairpin binding protein, or HBP). NCBI's taxonomy places the organism in Eukaryota, Metazoa, Chordata, Mammalia, Proboscidea, Elephantidae. The record is from Rfam.